Molecule: transfer RNA, 66 nt
Filed under: Sakuraeolis japonica
Lineage: Eukaryota; Metazoa; Mollusca; Gastropoda; Nudibranchia; Glaucidae
Description: tRNA-Pro
Source: RNAcentral
UCAAAAAGAGUUUUUUUAGAACACUAACUUUGGGAGUUAGAGGAUGGUUGAAUAACCAUUUUUGAA